UACGAAGGGUGCAAGCGUUGUUCGGAUUUAUUGGGCGUAAAGGGUGCGCAGGCGGGUCUGAAAGUCAGGUGUGAAAUCUCGGGGCCUAACCCCGAAACUGCGCUUGAAACUCCAGAUCUAGAAUGUCGACGAGGGUAGGGGAAUUUCGCAUGUAGGGGUAAAAUCCGUAGAUAUGCGAAGGAACAUCAGAGGCGAAAGCGCCUACCUGGGAGGAUAUUGACGCUGAGGCACGAAAGCGUGGGGAGCAAACAGG
Molecule: ribosomal RNA, 253 nt
Filed under: uncultured bacterium
Lineage: Bacteria
Description: partial 16S ribosomal RNA
Rfam family: Bacterial small subunit ribosomal RNA
Source: RNAcentral